AACGAACGCUGGCGGCAUGCCUAACACAUGCAAGUCGAACGAGACCUUCGGGUCUAGUGGCGCACGGGUGCGUAACGCGUGGAAACCUGCCCUUAGGUUCGGAAUAACUCCCCGAAAGGGGUGCUAAUACCGGAUAAUGUCUUCGGACCAAAGAUUUAUCGCCUUUGGAUGGGCCCGCGUUGGAUUAGCUAGUUGGUAGGGUAAAAGCCUACCAAGGCGACGAUGCAUAGCUGGUCUGAGAGGAUGAUCAGCCACACUGGGACUGAGACACGGCCCAGACUCCUACGGGAGGCAGCAGUGGGGAAUAUUGGACAAUGGGCGAAAGCCUGAUCCAGCAAUGCCGCGUGAGUGAUGAAGGCCUUAGGGUUGUAAAGCUCUUUUACCCGGGAUGAUAAUGACAGUACCGGGAGAAUAAGCUCCGGCUAACUCCGUG
This 433-nucleotide ribosomal RNA is filed under the name uncultured bacterium. Its description in RNAcentral is "partial 16S ribosomal RNA". It matches the Rfam family "Bacterial small subunit ribosomal RNA", at positions 29 to 507 of the family's 1533-position model. The record is from RNAcentral.